RNAcentral lists this ribosomal RNA (206 nucleotides) under uncultured marine eukaryote. Its description in RNAcentral is "partial 18S ribosomal RNA". It matches the Rfam family "Eukaryotic small subunit ribosomal RNA", at positions 1 to 206 of the family's 1831-position model. The record is from RNAcentral.
AACCUGGUUGAUCCUGCCAGUAGUCAUAUGCUUGUCUCAAGGAUUAAGCCAUGCAUGUCUAAGUGUAAAUAAGUCUAUACUGUGCAAACUGCGAAUGGCUCAUUAAAUCAGUUAUCGUUUAUUUGAUGAUCUCUUAUUACUUGGAUAACCGUAUUAAUUCUAGAGCUAAUACAUGCACACAAUCCCGACUUCUGGAAGGGAUGUAU